This is a long non-coding RNA of Oncorhynchus keta (chum salmon), 433 nucleotides long. RefSeq lists it as uncharacterized. The transcript has 2 exons. Lineage: Eukaryota; Metazoa; Chordata; Actinopteri; Salmoniformes; Salmonidae. The record is from RefSeq and is a predicted model, not a curated record.
GUAAACUAACUUCUGCGUACAAUUUUAGAGAAAUAAGCUUUUUUGCAUAUGGAACAUUUCUGGGAUAUUUUAUUUUUGCUCAUGAAACAUAGGACCAACACUUUACAUGUUGCAUUUAUAAUUUUGUUCAGUAUAGUUGCAAACUAUAGCUUUGAGAAACAUGUAAAAUAACACAAUUUGACCUGUUGUGUUCAUUGGAUGGGAUUCGGUUUCCACAAUGUAAUUUUGGCAUAGCACCUCAUAGUAAGGUCACCAGCCUGCUCGUUGUGGCGCACACCUGUCACCAUCUUUAUGCACACCUGCGUGUCAUCAGUCUCAUCUGGACUCCAUCACUUCCCUGAUUACCUUCCCUAUAUGCCACUCCCUUUGGUUCCUUCUCAAGGCGUUAUUGUUUCUGUUCCUGUGCCAUGUCUGUGUGUUGUUUGUGGUUCUU